UGGAGGCGCCGGUAUCGAUCCGGUCCUCUCGCAUGCUAGACAGCGCUCUACCAUCUGAGCUACGCCCCU
Araneus ventricosus is the source of this 69-nucleotide non-coding RNA. The record is from the annotation of a GenBank genome assembly. Lineage: Eukaryota; Metazoa; Arthropoda; Arachnida; Araneae; Araneidae.